Molecule: long non-coding RNA, 588 nt
Filed under: Rattus norvegicus (Norway rat)
Lineage: Eukaryota; Metazoa; Chordata; Mammalia; Rodentia; Muridae
Description: long non-coding RNA NONRATT021743
Source: RNAcentral
GUCGGGUGUUGGAAAAGCGCCAGUUGUCACGAGAUUUGUAACCCAGGCUGAAAUGUCCUGUGCUUGCAUUUUGACCUUUGUCUAGCACCCACGGCUGGCCUGCCUUCUCUGCCUCAGCUCCUCCUGACUGGCGUCCUUGCGUUUGGAUCUGUGCUGGGAUUGGUUCUGAGACAACAUAAACACAGCGUGACUCAUGGAUUUGAAGAAGUGUAAGGGUGAAGAACGUGAAGUCAUCAAGGUUAGGAGAAGCAAUGCCAGCGAUGAACAUUGGACUUCUAAUCACGUUCAAGGAGAGAUGAUUCCAUUCAUUUUAUAAGGCUUUCACCCGAUUCUCGGUAUCGUGUCGGUGCGGGCAUGGGGCACUGACAAAUGGAGGUUCCACCGAGAUUUGAACUUUGAAUCCAGUGAUCCGAGAUCAGAAAGACAAGGUCUCCUGACAGGACGUCCUGGGAAGCCAGCAAAGAAGCAGGGACUUAUUGGGGUAAGAUGGGCUAAAAAAGGCCUCGGUGAUUUGGGCUAGCGUGAGUAAAACUUGUAAUAAAAAAGGGACAAGGUAAUGGUAAGGUAUUUUUGUGUAUGCGCUCUUUU